This 1336-nucleotide long non-coding RNA is filed under the name Salvia miltiorrhiza (redroot sage). RNAcentral describes it as "long non-coding RNA (SMIL_LNC001199)". The record is from RNAcentral. Lineage: Eukaryota; Viridiplantae; Streptophyta; Magnoliopsida; Lamiales; Lamiaceae.
AAACAUCUUGUGUUAAUAAUAUAAAAAUCAAAGUAUAAAAUCAAAGUAUGCAAAGGAAAACUCCGAGGCAAAACUCAAAGUAUUCAAAAGCGCAAUCCAAACUAUUCAAAGGAAACUCAAAGUAAAAAGCUCGGAUAAGCUUAAAAGAAGAAAAGCAAGGCUUAUCCUUUCACGGAUAAACAGCUCCUUCAUACCUCCAAUAGUACUGCAAAGUUCUAAACAACCAUGCUACAAUCUUACAGGUUUGUUAGGCUUUCACAGGUCUGCUUACGCCUCCGUGGGCUCGAUUACGCCCGUACAAGUUUGCUUCACCUUUGUUGGCUCAUCUAAGCCUUAAGUAGAUAGGUUUGACUCCGUCUUGCCAAGAUUAUCUUGCCUUUACAAAUUCUCCAAUGAUUUUUCCUCAAUAGGCAUACCUAUGCCUCUCAAAUAUAUAUAUUCAUUUACCAAUCAUGUUGGUACACUUGGAACAUGUCUACGUCCUUCGCAGGUUCGUCCAAGCUUUCACAGGCUUGGUUAUGCUUUCGCAGGCUCGCUCACACCAUCGCAGGCUUGAGGAUAGUUUUGUGCACCUCUAUUGGUGGACUCAAUUUCAUAAUGCUCAAUCCGAAAAUGGAGGCUUAAGAGUCUUAUAAUUGAUUCAUAGUAAAAAACUAACAAUUUCUGUGCAUUUGUGAGUUGUCUCAAAUGUCUCUACAGGCAAAAAUGAAAUAUCAAAGUCAAACCAACAUAUAGAUUAACUUGUGACAGAGCUGCGUAGCCUCAAUGAUGCAGCCUUGUAGCCUCGACGUUUCGGUCCAAGAACGCGCUUUGACUUUACGAAGACUUUCUACAACGUCCUUAUUUGGGAAAUCAAGAUCAUUACCUCACAAAUAGCAACAACACUGUUACGCCGAAUUCAGCCCUGCCACUGGAAGUUCUUUAGUCUAGCCAAAACACCAGAAUUGCCACGUUUUGACCGGACUAGGGGGGGGAGAGAAGCUGAUGAGGACAAAAAUAUGCAUCCCUUGAAGACUAGGAGAUUAAAGCCGAGCCAACAAUAACAGCGCUGUUCAUGGUCUAGCAGCCCUGAUUUUUUGGAAUUUGGAGCUAUCUUGAAAACUGUCAAGUUCUAGAUAAAGAAGGAGAUUAUCAUGGAAAAGAUGAUAAAUAUGAGGAAUUAGAGUCCUAUUCUAAGUCUCAAUAGAGUCCUUUUCUAAGUAGGUUUCUUAGUAUUUUGCCUAUAAAUAAGGCAUGUAUUUUCAUUAUUUAGGGCAUCCCAUCGGUACCAACCGAUCCAUCAUUGUACCAUGUAAUCUCUCCCCAAAACAUAGUGAAAACCCCCCAAACAACCCCG